Rhinichthys klamathensis goyatoka is the source of this 75-nucleotide small nucleolar RNA. RefSeq annotates it as small nucleolar RNA SNORA69. Lineage: Eukaryota; Metazoa; Chordata; Actinopteri; Cypriniformes; Leuciscidae. The transcript has a single exon. The record is from RefSeq and is a predicted model, not a curated record.
AAAGCAGGACGCAAUUACAGUGCUCAAUUUUGUGGGAGUACUGCCAUUAUCCUGCUGAGAGCAUCAUCUACAGUA